UGGGUAUAGGGAUGAGAUGCUAUUGGAAUCUUCAGGUAUGUUUUCAUUUCGGUCUGUUUUUCGAUGAGAUUUGUGUAUGUCGUUCACAUAUUAUAUUAAUGAUAUAUUUUUUAUGUCUUUCAGGUUUCAGUUGCUAUCAUUGAAUUAUCAACAGUUUGUUUUGAUUCCGUUUUUUUCUAGCAUUGAAUGACCAACGGUUUGUUUGGUAAGUCUACAGUUUGGAGUUUAGUUAUUACCAUAUUUCUCUCUCUCUUUUAGCUUGACGUUAUCGGUUCGUUGCCGUUUCCUGUUCUGGACAAGUUGGAUUUCGUUCUUCUUACCUGGUCUUCGGUUUUCGCAAGAAAGAGGGGGAUUGUGGGAGACACAGG
Pelobates cultripes (western spadefoot toad) is the source of this 368-nucleotide non-coding RNA. NCBI's taxonomy places the organism in Eukaryota, Metazoa, Chordata, Amphibia, Anura, Pelobatidae. The record is from the annotation of a GenBank genome assembly.